Molecule: long non-coding RNA, 2350 nt
Filed under: Olea europaea subsp. europaea
Lineage: Eukaryota; Viridiplantae; Streptophyta; Magnoliopsida; Lamiales; Oleaceae
Source: RNAcentral
CUUUUCUCGGUGUUACAGUUGAGAACAAAUCAUCAGAUAUGGCUUAUGCUGCUCUUCUUUCUCUAAUGCACGUUCUAGAGCAAAUCAUUCAACAGAAAUAUACAUUUCUGAAUCGUCCUGUCAAAAAACAAAUUGCAUCUCUUCUCGAAAAGGUCAUUUCCUUAAAAGAUUUUCUUGAAAAUUGUUCACGAAACAGCUGUGAAGCAAUAGAAUGUUUGGAGAAUCAAAUCAGGGACGCAGCACAUCUAGCAGAAGAUAUUGUUGAAUCCUACGUUGUCGAUCGACUUCUUCCAGAAUCCACAGUUAACAGGGACAAGAUCCUUAUAUUUUUCUGCUCUGACUUGGAGAAAGUAUACAAAGAAAUUGAUUCAUUAAUGAACCAGGUGAUGAAGAUUGAGGACAACGUUGUCUUAGAAGAUCAACGGCCAAUGACUUGGAUGCCAUCAAAAAUUGCUCUCGGUGGAAACAGACUCAUUGUUAGCCUUGAUAAUGUCUUGAUGGAGAUUAAGACUCGGCUGGUUAGUGAAUCGUCACACCUUGAAACUGUCUCCAUUGUUGGAAUGGGCAGAAUGGGUAAGACUACUGUUGACCUCCAAAAAUGGCUCCUCCACGUGGCCAACUUGUAGCUACUCCACGUAUUCCUCCCUGCGUAAUGAGCAAACGGUCAGGCGCACACGGCCGGAACCGACGGGGGUGGUGGCGGCCGUAUACACUCCGACGGUCAAGUCAGGUUUGGGUGGUCGGAACAGUGCCCAGGGGCUACACAGAUCAAUCAAUAAAGGGGGGAGGAUGAUAUAUAAACUUGUUAUGGAAUGCUAUGUAUUGAGAGUUUCAUUACCUUUGCCUCUUGCCAGACCUUGGGUAUUUAUAGGUGGUAUGAACCGCGGGAUGUGGAACGCGUGUAUACAUCUGACGGUAUGAAGUGUCUGCUCAUAGACGUCAAUCAGCCGCGCUUGUAGAGUGGGCGGACAGUUUGUUUCCCCCGAGUUGAAUUGACAUAAAGUUGAUAAGUCACGUCAAGUAGCCUCAUGAGGACGUCAAAUCAAUUUAAACCUUAGGUGCAGGACAAAUCUUAAAUUGGCGGCGGAUCUUCUAACCGGGGUCCACUUGAUCUCGACUUCGGAGGUGAGAUGCUUCGGCAGAUCAGUAGUAAGAAUCGAUAUAUCACUUCAGAGAAGCUUCGGGAGGGUCGUUUUCAGGUCGGAGUAGGUGGUGAGAUGGCACUUCGGUAUCGAGGCGUAACAAUGGUCCCCCAAAUCCGGGGAUGAAUAUUUAUAUUGUGCGCGGAUUUGCUUUCCUGUCCGGGCCGCGAGUCAUGGGGUCGAUUCGUCGCAGCAGCCGAGGUUAGGAUAAUAGGCAGAUGCGGGGCAUUCGCAUCAGGCGCGUCCCAGAUUUGUGAAGUUGGAGAAAGGGCUCAGCUGCCGUCGAUGCACUGACAGAACAGGUCGACGCGUGGGGAUAGCUAAAACUUUGUAAAGUAUGGGAGGAAAACGCAGCGUCCAAGGCAAUGACCCAAUGGGGUGUUCGCAUCAGGUGCGUCCAAGCUUUGUAAAGUUGGAGGAGGAACUCAUCUCGCACCGAUGCGUUGACAGGAAAAGGUCGACGCGUGGGGAGAUGGCUGAAACUUUGUAAAGCAUGGGAGGAAAAUGCAGCGUCCGAGGCGAUGACCCAAUGGGGCGUUCGCGUCAGGUGCGUCCAAGCUUUGUAAAGUUGGAGGAGGAACUCAUCUCGCACCGAUGCGUUGACAGGAAAAGGUCGACGCGUGGGGAGAUGGCUAAAACUUUGUAAAGCAUGGGAGGAAAACGCAGCGUCCUAGGCGAUGACCCAAUGGGGCGUUUCGUCAGGUGCGUCCAAGCUUUGUAAAGUUGGAGGAGGAGCUCAUCCGAGGCGACCCAAACGUCCAAUGAUUUGACAACUGUUGCGUGUUUUCAAGGUGACAGUUGGGUGCCAUGCCCAUUCUCCUAAAAGGCUGCUGCGGCUAGUAAUUAUUAUUGAUGGCUGGUUGUAACCGAGGUGACGCGUUUCAAUUUAGCGUGAAGGUCACAGCGACAUCUUGGACGUAGAUCAAAUCUGGCGUUUCAUUUCAACGGCCCGGAUUGAGGAUGCGAGGAACGGCUUAGAUUGAUCGCAUUUGAAUUCAACGGUGGAGAUUGGACUUGUUUUUCCUAUAAAAGGAGGACUCUGGGGUUUUCUCAGACUUUCUACCUUCGCAAGAUUAAAAUCAUAAUUUGCUCUCAAAUUUCCGGCGAUUUCCGGCGUUUUGCAAGCAACUUCGGCGAGAAAGAACGAUACUUCCGGCGAUCCUACACCAUUUCCGGCUAGGAAAAACUUCCAAACCCGUAAGUUUCAG